AAAGUCUUUCCGUAGGUGAACCUGCGGAAGGAUCAUUGUACCCCUCUGUGAAAUCCUAUCUCUCUUGAAAGGCUUGGUCUUAGUGUGUUGUUCGCUAGAAGUCCUAAUGAUGGAGGUUCUUCGGAGCCUAGGGCUUGAGCAGCAUGUGUUUGACGAUCAGCCGUCACUUUACCAUCGUUGGCUCUCACUCUUUUAAACCCCUUUGUACUUCUGUACUGAACCAAUUCCUUGACGCUCUAACGAGUGACGAUAGAUAUUACGAAACUAAAGAACAACUCUUAGCAACGGAUAUCUUGGUUCCC
RNAcentral lists this unclassified non-coding RNA (302 nucleotides) under Cercozoa sp. RNAcentral describes it as "partial contains small subunit ribosomal RNA, internal transcribed spacer 1, and 5.8S ribosomal RNA". The record is from RNAcentral. Lineage: Eukaryota; Cercozoa.